GGGCGGUGAGGAGGAAAGUGAGGAAGUCAUGCACCACUCUGAUGAAAUCUGUGCUGAUAAACCGUCAAUUACCCAUUUACAUCUGAGCCC
This is a small nucleolar RNA of Tripterygium wilfordii, 90 nucleotides long. RefSeq annotates it as small nucleolar RNA Z221/R21b. The transcript has a single exon. The record is from RefSeq and is a predicted model, not a curated record. NCBI's taxonomy places the organism in Eukaryota, Viridiplantae, Streptophyta, Magnoliopsida, Celastrales, Celastraceae.